RNAcentral lists this ribosomal RNA (305 nucleotides) under uncultured bacterium. RNAcentral's name for it is "bacterial SSU rRNA". It matches the Rfam family "Bacterial small subunit ribosomal RNA", at positions 335 to 642 of the family's 1533-position model. The record is from RNAcentral.
UAACCUACGGGACGCAGCAGUGGGGGAUAUUGCACAAUGGGCGCAAGCCUGAUGCAGCGACGCCGCGUGAGCGAAGAAGUAUUUCGGUAUGUAAAGCUCUAUCAGCAGGGAAGAAAAAAAGUCUUUGGCUUUGGACGGUACCUGACUAAGAAGCCCCGGCUAACUACGUGCCAGCAGCCGCGGUAAUACGUAGGGGGCAAGCGUUAUCCGGAUUUACUGGGUGUAAAGGGAGCGUAGACGGCAGCGCAAGUCUGGAGUGAAAUGCCGGGGCUCAACCCCGGAACUGCUUUGGAAACUGUGCAGCU